GACGAACGCUGGCGGCGUGCUUAACACAUGCAAGUCGAACGGUAAGGCCCUUCGGGGUACACGAGUGGCGAACGGGUGAGUAACACGUGGGUGAUCUGCCCUGCACUUCUGGAUAAGCUUGAUCCACUGGGUCUAAUACCGGAUAGGACCACUGCCUGCAUGGGUGGUGGUGGAAAGCUUUUGCGGUGUGGGAUGGGCCCGCGGCCUAGCAGCUUGUUGGUGGGGUGAUGGCCUACCAAGGCGACGACGGGUAGCCGGCCUGAGAGGGUGACCGGAAAGACUGGGACGGAGAGACGGCCCAGACGAAGACGGGAGUCAGCAAUGGGGAAUCGGCAACAAUGGGAGAAAGACUGAUGCACAGACUCCGCGUGAGGGAUGACGGCCUGAGGGGGGUAAACCGCGUUCAGCACCGACCAAGCGCAAGUGAAGGGAGGUGCAGAAGAAGGAACGGCUAACUACGUGCCAGCCGCCGCCGUAA
This 478-nucleotide ribosomal RNA is filed under the name uncultured bacterium. Its description in RNAcentral is "partial 16S ribosomal RNA". It matches the Rfam family "Bacterial small subunit ribosomal RNA", at positions 28 to 523 of the family's 1533-position model. The record is from RNAcentral.